AGCGUAGACGGUGUGGCAAGUCUGAUGUGAAAGGCAUGGGCUCAACCUGUGGACUGCAUUGGAAACUGUCAUACUUGAGUGCCGGAGGGGUAAGCGGAAUUCCUAGUGUAGCGGUGAAAUGCGUAGAUAUUAGGAGGAACACCAGUGGCGAAGGCGGCUUACUGGGCGGUAACUGACGUUGAGGCUCGAAAGCGUGGGAGCAAACA
This 206-nucleotide ribosomal RNA is filed under the name uncultured bacterium. RNAcentral describes it as "partial 16S ribosomal RNA". It matches the Rfam family "Bacterial small subunit ribosomal RNA", at positions 568 to 774 of the family's 1533-position model. The record is from RNAcentral.